Molecule: ribosomal RNA, 1359 nt
Filed under: uncultured bacterium
Lineage: Bacteria
Description: bacterial SSU rRNA
Rfam family: Bacterial small subunit ribosomal RNA
Source: RNAcentral
UCAGGAUGAACGCUUGCGGCGUGCUAAUACAUGCAAGUCGAGCGGUAAGGCUCCUGCAGUUUGCUUAAGCGGAGACAGGUGAUACGAAGUAUCACAUCGUCACCGAAGUAAUGAGCGAUCAUUACUCCUAAAACCUAGGCUAGGUUGAGGGGUGCUUAAGGAAAGUGCUGGAGUACACGAGCGGCGGACGGCUGAGUAACGCGUGGGAACGUACCCCAAAGUGAGGGAUAAGCACCAGAAAUGGUGUCUAAUACCGCAUGUGGUCUUCGGAUUAAAGCUUCGGCGCUUUGGGAACGGCCUGCGUAUGAUUAGCUUGUUGGUGAGGUAACGGCUCACCAAGGCGACGAUCAUUAGCUGGUCUGAGAGGAUGAUCAGCCAGACUGGGACUGAGAACGUGCCAGACUCCUACGGGAGGCAGCAGUAGGGAAUUUUCCACAAUGGACGAAAGUCUGAUGGAGCAACGCCGCGUGCAGGAUGAAUUGCCUUCGGGUUGUAAACUGCUUUUAUAUGUGACGAUUAUGACGGUAGCAUAUGAAUAAGGAUCGGCUAAUUCCGUGCCAGCAGCCGCGGUCAUACGGAAGAUCCAAGCGUUAUCCGGAAUUACUGGGCGUAAAGAGUUGCGUAGGUGGCAUAGUAAGUAGAUAGUGAAAGCCUGGGGCUCAACCCCUUACACAUUAUCUAAACUGCUAAGCUAGAGGGCGAGAGAGGUAGCUAGAAUUCCUAGUGUAGGAGUGAAAUCCGUAGAUAUUAGGAGGAAUACCGAUGGCGUAGGCAGGCUACUGGCUCGUCCCUGACACUAAGGCACGAAAGCGUGGGGAGCGACCGGGAUUAGAUACCCCGUUAGUCCACGCCGUAAACGAUGGAUGCUAGCUGUUAUGCGUAUCGACCCGCGUAGUAGCGAAGCUAACGCGUUAAGCAUCCCGCCUGUGGAGUACGAGCGCAAGCUUAAAACAUAAAGGAAUUGACGGGGACCCGCACAAGCGGUGGAGCGUGUUCUUUAAUUCGAUGGUAAGCGAAGAACCUUACCCAGGUUUGACAUCCUGCGAAGGUCUCCGAAAGGAGACUGUGCCUUGUGAGCGCAGUGACAGGUGUUGCAUGGCCGUCGUCAGCUCGUGUCGUGAGAUGUUUGGUUAAGUCCAUCAACGAGCGCAACCCUUGUAGUUAGUUGAAUUUUUCUAGCUAGACUGCCCCGGCAACGGGGAGGAAGGAGGGGAUGAUGUCAGGUCAGUAUUACCCUUACACCUGGGGCUAGAAACACGCUACAAUGGCCGGUACAAAGGGCUGCCAAGUCGCGAGACGGAGCAAAUCCCAUCAAAGCCGGUCCCAGUUCGGAUAGCAGGCUGAAACUCGCCUGCUUGA